GACGAACGCUGGCGGCGUGCUUAACACAUGCAAGUCGAACGGAAAGGCCCUGCUUGCAGGGUACUCGAGUGGCGAACGGGUGAGUAACACGUGGGUGAUCUGCCCUGCACUUCGGGAUAAGCCUGGGAAACUGGGUCUAAUACCGGAUAGGAGCCAUUUUUAGUGUGAUGGUUGGAAAGUUUUUUCGGUGUAGGAUGAGCUCGCGGCCUAUCAGCUUGUUGGUGGGGUAAUGGCCUACCAAGGCGGCGACGGGUAGCCGGCCUGAGAGGGUGGACGGCCACAUUGGGACUGAGAUACGGCCCAGACUCCUACGGGAGGCAGCAGUGGGGAAUAUUGCACCAUGGGCGCAAGCCUGAUGCAGCGACGCCGCGUGGGGGAUGACGGCCUUCGGGUUGUAAACUCCUUUCGCUAGGGACGAAGCUUUUUGUGACGGUACCUAGAUAAGAAGCACCGGCUAACUACGUG
Molecule: ribosomal RNA, 465 nt
Filed under: uncultured bacterium
Lineage: Bacteria
Description: partial 16S ribosomal RNA
Rfam family: Bacterial small subunit ribosomal RNA
Source: RNAcentral